This 902-nucleotide ribosomal RNA is filed under the name uncultured Bacillota bacterium. RNAcentral's name for it is "bacterial SSU rRNA". It matches the Rfam family "Bacterial small subunit ribosomal RNA", at positions 1 to 900 of the family's 1533-position model. Lineage: Bacteria; Bacillati; Bacillota. The record is from RNAcentral.
UGGAUCCAGACUUUGAUUAUGGCUCAGGACGAACGCUGGCGGCGUGCCUAACACAUGCAAGUCGAGCGGGGAACCGUGGAAUGAAGCUUCGGCAGAAGGAAGCGGUUUCUAGCGGCGGACGGGUGAGUAACGCGUGAGCAAUCUGCCUUUCACAGGGGGAUAACACACCGAAAGGUGUACUAAUACCGCAUGAGACCACAGGAAGGACAUCUUCCAGGGGUCAAAGGAGCAAUCCGGUGAAAGAUGAGCUCGCGUCUGAUUAGCUGGUUGGUGAGGUAACGGCCCACCAAGGCGACGAUCAGUAGCCGACCUGAGAGGGUGAUCGGCCACAUUGGAACUGAGAAACGGUCCAAACUCCUACGGGAGGCAGCAGUGGGGAAUAUUGGGCAAUGGGGGAAACCCUGACCCAGCAACGCCGCGUGAAGGAAGAAGGUUUUCGGAUCGUAAACUUCUAUCCUUGGUGAAAAUCGUGAUGGUAGCCAAGAAGGAAGCCCCGGCUAACUACGUGCCAGCAGCCGCGGUAAUACGUAGGGGGCAAGCGUUGUCCGGAAUGAUUGGGCGUAAAGGGCGCGUAGGCGGCCCUUUAAGUCUGAAGUGAAAGUCCUGCUUUUAAGGUGGGAACUGCUUUGGAUACUGGAAGGCUUGAGUGCAGGAGAGGUAAGCGGAAUUCCCGGCGUAGCGGUGAAAUGCGUAGAGAUCGGGAGGAACACCAGUGGCGAAGGCGGCUUACUGGACUGUUACUGACGCUGAGGCGCGAAAGUGUGGGGAGCAAACAGGAUUAGAUACCCUGGUAGUCCACACUGUAAACGAUGAAUGCUAGGUGUAGGGGGUAUCGACCCCUUCUGUGCCGGAGUCAACACAAUAAGCAUUCCGCCUGGGGAGUACGGCCGCAAGGUUGCAAC